GAUGAACGCUGGCGGCGUGCCUAAUACAUGCAAGUCGAGCGAACAGAUGAGGAGCUUGCCCCUCUUACGUUAGCGGCGGACGGGUGAGUAACACGUGGAUAACCUACCUAUAAGACUGGGAUAACUUCGGGAAACCGGAUCUAAUAUCGGUUAUUAUAUUGAACCGCAUGGUUCAAUAGUGAAAGACGGUUUUGCUGUCACUUAUAGAUGGAUCCGCGCCGCAUUAGCUAGUUGGUAAGGUAACGGCUUACCAAGGCAACGAUGCGUAGCCGACCUGAGAGGGUGAUCGGCCACACUGGAACUGAGACACGGUCCAGACUCCUACGGGAGGCAGCAGUAGGGAAUCUUCCGCAAUGGGCGAAAGCUUGACGGAGCAACGCCGCGUGAGUGAUGAAGGUCUUCGGAUCGUAAAACUCUGUUAGUAGGGAAGAACAAAAGUGUAAGUAACUAUGCACGUCUUGACGGUACCUAAUCAGAAAGCCACGGCUAACUACGUG
This 497-nucleotide ribosomal RNA is filed under the name uncultured bacterium. RNAcentral's name for it is "partial 16S ribosomal RNA". It matches the Rfam family "Bacterial small subunit ribosomal RNA", at positions 28 to 507 of the family's 1533-position model. The record is from RNAcentral.